RNAcentral lists this ribosomal RNA (837 nucleotides) under uncultured Wolbachia sp. Its description in RNAcentral is "bacterial SSU rRNA". It matches the Rfam family "Bacterial small subunit ribosomal RNA", at positions 94 to 969 of the family's 1533-position model. The record is from RNAcentral. Lineage: Bacteria; Pseudomonadati; Pseudomonadota; Alphaproteobacteria; Rickettsiales; Anaplasmataceae.
AGUGGCAGACGGGUGAGUAAUGUAUAGGAAUCUACCUAGUAGUACGGAAUAAUUGUUGGAAACGGCAACUAAUACCGUAUACGCCCUACGGGGGAAAAAUUUAUUGCUAUUAGAUGAGCCUAUAUUAGAUUAGUUAGUUGGUGAGGUAAAGGCUUACCAAGACAAUGAUCUAUAGCUGAUCUGAGAGGAUGAUCAGCCACACUGGAACUGAGAUACGGUCCAGACUCCUACGGGAGGCAGCAGUGGGGAAUAUUGGACAAUGGGCGAAAGCCUGAUCCAGCCAUGCCGCAUGAGUGAAGAAGGCCUUCGGGUUGUAAAGCUCUUUUAGUGAGGAAGAUAAUGACGGUACUCACAGAAGAAGUCCUGGCUAACUCCGUGCCAGCAGCCGCGGUAAUACGGAGAGGGCUAGCGUUAUUCGGAAUCAUUGGGCGUAAAGGGCGCGUAGGCGGGUUAGUAAGUUAAAAGUGAAAUCCCAAGGCUCAACCUUGGAACUGCUUUUAAAACUGCUAGUCUAGAGAUUGAAAGAGGAUAGAGGAAUUCCUAGUGUAGAGAUGAAAUUCGUAAAUAUUAGGAGGAAUACCAGUGGCGAAGGCGUCUAUCUGGUUCAAAUCUGACGCUGAGGCGCGAAGGCGUGGGGAGCAAACAGGAUUAGAUACCCUGGUAGUCCACGCUGUAAACGAUGAAUGUUAAAUAUGGGAAGUUUACUUUCUGUAUUAUAGCUAACGCGUUAAACAUUCCGCCUGGGGACUACNGUCGCAAGAUUAAAACUCAAAGGAAUUGACNGGGANCCGCACAAGCGGUGGAGCAUGUGGUUUAAUUCGAUGCAACGCGAAAAAC